GUAGGGUGGGCAAGCGUUGUCCGGAAUUAUUGGGGCGUAAAGCGCGCGCAGGCGGUCCUUUAAGUCUGAUGUGAAAGCCCACGGCUCAACCGUGGAGGGUCAUUGGAAACUGGGGGACUUGAGUACAGAAGAGGAAAGCGGAAUUCCAAGUGUAGCGGUGAAAUGCGUAGAGAUUUGGAGGAACACCAGUGGCGAAGGCGGCUUUCUGGUCUGUAACUGACGCUGAGGCGCGAAAGCGUGGGGAGCAAACAGGAUUAGAUACCCUGGUAGUCCACGCCGUAAACGAUGAGUGCUAAGUGUUAGGGGGGUUUCCGCCCCUUAGUGCUGCAGCUAACGCAUUAAGCACUCCGCCUGGGGAGUACGGCCGCAAAGGCUG
This 376-nucleotide ribosomal RNA is filed under the name uncultured organism. RNAcentral describes it as "partial 16S ribosomal RNA". It matches the Rfam family "Bacterial small subunit ribosomal RNA", at positions 525 to 896 of the family's 1533-position model. The record is from RNAcentral.